RNAcentral lists this long non-coding RNA (2145 nucleotides) under Homo sapiens (human). Its description in RNAcentral is "HSALNT0302532". Lineage: Eukaryota; Metazoa; Chordata; Mammalia; Primates; Hominidae. The record is from RNAcentral.
CGCGGUCGCCCCAGCCGCCCGGCAGCCGCCGACCCCCGGCCGGGCCCUGGACUCGCCGCGGUAGUGCCUUCCCAAACAGAGCUGCUGGAAUUACAAUCUUUUGUUGAGCCUCAUGUAACGGAAAAGUCUCCGAUUACUAUCACUUGAAAAGGCUAGCGCGCCCACGGGACGGCCUGGAGAGUGAAGAGCCCCAAGGGUCCCGGGCCCGCGCGGCUCAUUCACUCUCUAGCGUCUGCUGAGGUAACGCGGCCCGCACCUGGGCGCGCGCGACUGCCCCAGUGCGCUGGCGCCAACCACGCGGCGGCGGCCCGGCGAGCCACCGGGAAGAAGUCAGACAAAGUCACUCUCAGGGCGCUGUGCAGCGCCACAGCCAGGGGAGGUGUAAGUUCGGGCUCAGUGAAGAAUCUCGGCUGACUUACGCUGCCAUCAGGGGAUAUGAAGGCGGUGGUUUCCUGGAAUAACACGGGCCUAUGAUAGGAAUUCGACGCAAGGAAGAUUUAUGGGAGCACCGAUUUGCAAGGCAUUGUGGGAAAAAGGUACACAGGCAGACAACAAAUUACACUUUUGGCAUUUCCAGUUUGGAGCCCUACAGCAAUACUCACUGAAGAAGGUUGCACAUAAUAUGAUGGCAGUAGAGCUGGGACGAACGUAGCCACACUCAAUCCUGUGAAGCCAACACUGAAUGAACCAGGCAGAGUGAACACAUGCAAGUAUUAGAAAGGUUUGGACACUGGGGAAGGGUUUAAUAACCCCACGGGGAUAAGAAGUAAGAAAUGGGAAUCCAUUUGGUGUGAUGGGACCAGGGAAGAAUAAGACAGAUCCCUGAUGGCCCAUCUGACCACCUCCAGUUCAGAAGUGGGGAGGAGGUAAAGGAAGGCCAGAGGUAUUCAUUCUUUAUUUCUUCAGUGUUUACUGUUCUGUAUUUACAGUAUUUAAUGUGUGCAAGGCACACUGCCAGGUGUUUUAGAAGAUUCAGAAGUGACCAGGAGUGUUGCUAGCCAAAGGAAAUGGGACAAAUGUGCAAACAGUAAAGUACCAAAAGAAUAUAGUAAGGGCCAGGGGAGGACAGCUCUAAGAAUUCAGAGGACAAGGAGGACACAUCUGCCUUUUGGAGAAAGCUGUCUCAACAAAGAGGAACAGAGCACUAAAGCUAAAUAACCCCCAUGAAGGACCAACCCUCUUCCGGAAAAAAGGCUUAAAUUACACAUCAGUUAAAACGACGACAACAUUCUCCUCCACUUGUGCUCUACAGUGAGGGGCAGAUGAAUGGCCUUUGGCUGUUGCAGCAAAAUAGAGUUCUCCAGGAAAACUGUGGCCAACGUUUGGAAAAAUUAACCAUGAAAUUCUCAAACUUCAACUGCUAACAUGUACUCCAGGCUAAUGAUGACAGAGAAUAACACAGGCAAACUGCAGGCCAACCUUGGGGAGAUAGUUUCUUUAGAGAUGCCCUCUACUGAGUGCCCCUGAUAUCCAAGGAACAUGGAAGGCAGUCCCCAAAUGAAGAGCAAUUGUAUUCCUUUAAUUCAGUCAUAAAUCAACUCUCAAUUCUAUGAGAUUUUUCACAGAAGAACGGAGCGCCUCAAAAGUGGAUCAAGGCAGAAAUGGAUGUGGAAAUUAUCAUCCUGUACCUUUGAGGUAAAGAGGCUUCUACAGCUCUGGCAUGAGCUACCACAGGUCAUAACCAUUAGGAAAGAAACUGGAAUGUUACCAUGCCAGGCUUUGUGAAUAAACUAAAGUUUUGCUGGUGGUGGCACAGGAAAAAAAUGAAGAAACCAAGAGGACUUGAACCAAGUGGGUAUGACUCCAAAGCCCAUGCUUUAAAUGAACAAAUUGGCCUACCCUCUAAGGCAAGAACCCUUUAAUAGUGGUCUAUGUCAGAAAAAUAUCAAAAAGACUCAAGGCUCUUAAAUAAAUAAGGAAAUGAAUGACCUGCAUCAAAGUCUAAUUACGCCUAGGCCAGUUACCCACCCAGCCAGGUCUCCUUGUACAUACACAAUGGGGGUGAUAUUGCCCCCACAAGGAAUGAAAAUUCAUUUUGGGGAUGAGGCAAAAAAUUGUAUUCUUUUUCAUAUUAGCAUAGAUAUAUAAUGUAUCUAUGGCAUGAAAAUUUCAUGGGUGGGCAAUUAGGAGGAAAAAAAGGGUCAC